RNAcentral lists this ribosomal RNA (579 nucleotides) under uncultured bacterium. RNAcentral describes it as "bacterial SSU rRNA". It matches the Rfam family "Bacterial small subunit ribosomal RNA", at positions 46 to 632 of the family's 1533-position model. The record is from RNAcentral.
GGAUUAGGCAUGCAAGUCGUGCGGCAGCAGGCCCCGCAAGGGGUGCUGGCGAGCGGCGUAAGGGAGAGUAACACGCGGGUACCUACCCUCAGGACCGGGAUAGCUGCGGGAAACUGCAAUUAAUACCGGAUGAUGUCUCCGGACCAAAGGUGUAAUUCCUCCGGAGGAGGGGCCCACGUCCUAUCAGCUAGUUGGAGAGGUAACGGCUCACCAAGGCGACGACGGGUACGGGGUGUGAGAGCAUGCCCCCGCUCACUGGGACUGAGACACUGCCCAGACACCUACGGGUGGCUGCAGUCGAGAAUCUUCCGCAAUGGGCGAAAGCCUGACGGAGCGACGCCGCGUGCGGGAUGAAGGCCUUCGGGUUGUAAACCGCUGUCAGUGGGGAGCAAAUGCACGGGGGUUCUCCCUUGUGCUUGAGCGAUCCGCAGAGGAAGCGCAGGCUAAGUUCGUGCCAGCAGCCGCGGUAACACGAACUGCGCAAACGUUAUUCGGAAUCACUGGGCUUAAAGAGUUCGUAGGCGGCGCGUUAAGUCGGGUGUGAAAUCCCUCGGCUCAACCGAGGAAUUGCGCCCGAAA